AACGCGAAGAACCUUACCAACUCUUGACAUCCCCCUGACCGGCACAGAGAUGUGCCUUCCCCUUCGGGGGCAGGGGUGACAGGUGGUGCAUGGUUGUCGUCAGCUCGUGUCGUGAGAUGUUGGGUUAAGUCCCGCAACGAGCGCAACCCUUGUCCUUAGUUGCCACCAUUCAGUUGGGCACUCUAAGGAGACUGCCGGUGACAAACCGGAGGAAGGUGGGGAUGACGUCAAAUCAUCAUGCCCCUUAUGAGUUGGACUACACACGUGCUACAAUGGACGGUACAAAGGGCAGCGAAGCCGCGAGGUGGAGCCAAUCCCAGAAAGCCGUUCUCAGUUCGGAUUGCAGGCUGCAACUCGCCUGCAUGAAGUCGGAAUCGCUAGUAAUCGCAGGUCAGCAUACUGCGGUGAAUACGUUCCCGGGUCUUGUACACACCG
This 435-nucleotide ribosomal RNA is filed under the name uncultured bacterium. RNAcentral describes it as "bacterial SSU rRNA". It matches the Rfam family "Bacterial small subunit ribosomal RNA", at positions 958 to 1392 of the family's 1533-position model. The record is from RNAcentral.